Molecule: RNA transcript, 2484 nt
Organism: Oncorhynchus keta (chum salmon)
Lineage: Eukaryota; Metazoa; Chordata; Actinopteri; Salmoniformes; Salmonidae
Gene name: keratinocyte-associated protein 3-like
Exons: 7
Source: RefSeq, a predicted model, not a curated record
AAAUCUUCAUAAAUGUGUUCAAUUAUAAACCUACAAAUGAACGCCCAACUUCCGCUCGACAGGUGAAGCCCGUGACGUCACCGACUCGGAAAGUGCGAGGAACUGCUUCAUGAAAACAAAAAAUAAUUCGCCGUUUUGUUUAACUCUUAGAAACAAUCUUGCGUAAUAUACGGCAACGAUAUGUGUGGUUUCGAUAAGGAGAAGGGCCCGGGGCGUCUGAUGAAGAAGGGGUUUACUCUGAUCCUGGUGGGUCACAUUAACUUCAUUCUGGGAGCCAUCAUCCACGGCAGCAUCCUGCGCCACAUCUCUAAACCCAACGACCAGAUCACCACCGAGUUCACCGCCGCCAACAUCAUCUCCGUCACCUCCGGACUGCUGAGCAUUGCAACAGGAAUCAUUGCCAUAUUGGUGUCAAGAAAUCUGUCAGUUUGGAAGCUGCACAUAGGUCUUCUGAUUAGUUCCUUCCUGAAUGCCCUACUCUCUGCAGCCUGUGGCAUUAGCCUCACCAUUGCCAACGAGGGAGGGGCCUCAUGUUGGGCUGCAACUUCACUGACUUGCCAAUCAACGCCCGCUCGCCAGUCAAAGCAGACUGCCCCUUUGACACCACACGGAUUUAUGACACUGCCCUGUCUCUGUGGUUCCCAUGUGUACUUCUGGCUGGACUGGAAACAGGACUUUCUAUCUGGUGCUUCGUAGUGGGACUGGUACUGAGGGGUCUAGGACCCUGCUCUCACACAUACCUCAAAGAACAGCUGGAGGAGGAGGCUCUAACUAAUAGGGCAGAUCCAGAGUACUCACUCCAGGUCCGGAGCCUGAUUGGUCAACACUACGCAUAGAGGACUGCCACAGACCGGGAGUGUUUGAUGACGAAGGUGUGACUGAGCCUCUUCGUCUUCAGAGAACCUCCCUGGUGCCUUUACCUCCAUUCAUACCAAAGACUCUCCUCUCCCUCAACGUGAUAGGCUAGCUAGACUGCUGGAUGACAUUGUCUCCGUGUCUGCCUCAGAAUGUCUGUCCUCCCCUCGAUCCGCCAACAUUUCACAAAUGCAAAAUUACAAACGCCUGUAGUGUAGAGAUUAUUUAUGGAUCAAUAUCUUCGUUAUAGUAUUUUAAAUAAUUGCAUUUAAUCACAUUUUGCAUUUAUCAUGCUUCAUGCUUUUUCAUUUUCUGCACAUGUUAUUUCCUCCUUUUAACAGCAACACACUGUUAUAUACCUCGUUAAAUUUAACGACUAACUCUCAGCUAAGCCAAAGAUGUUGUUUUAUGACUACUCUUGUAUUUAACUACCAAUCUCAGCCAAAGAUGUUUUAUUGUCAUGUGUGUUUUUGUAACCUGAUUAUGUCUACCUGCCUGAUCUACCAGGCCUCGAUGCACUCCAUAGUGUUUACUACUCUGUUAUUUCCUGGCUUGAAUGUAUACUGUGGGGAUAUGGGAAUAUAAUGCCUGAGAGGGGCUCUGAGGGUUCAUCUCAAAUUCCUAGAAACAAAUCUCCCACAUUGCAGUUUUCUCCCAAUUUUAUUUCUCCUGCAGGUGCAUAUAGAAGAAGGGGAACAGGGAGAGCUGAACCACUUUAGUGUACUGAGACGCACACUGAAAUUUUGACUGAAACCCAAUGCAGCAGAGCAGCCCCUGGGGGCCGGGGUGCAUGAGUGGUCAGGUAGACACCAGUAUGUAGGUCAUACAGGUGUAGCUGGGAUGGGCUCACAUUCCCCGACACCAGGCAGAAGUGAUCAGUUUAGUGCUGAAACUGUUAAUCUGGUGCUGGGUUAAAUCAAGCGGGUCGUAAUCUUUGCACACAACGCUAAUCCCCCGAUCUGAGGGGUGAAUCAAUAUUGAUAUAAGGAGGUGACUGACCCUGUCCCAACCAAGGUUGUUUUUUAUGCGUGGCCAGCUGAAUGUUGUUCCUCCAGGGCUGCCAUAUGUUGUACUGUGGUACUACUACUUUAGUGGGUGUCCACUAGCUUCCAUAGCCACAAAGUCAUAUUCCACAGUCACAAAGUUGUAAUUUGCUACAAAAACAAGCUUUUUGGUUUUAAUUUAAGGUUAGCAGUGUGGUUAAGUUCAGGGCUAAGGUUAGGUUUAAAAUGGCAUUUUAAGACUUUAAUUGUAGAAAUGGGUGGGGUGUAUGCCUUUGUGGUAACUAGUGUCGACCACUUUGGAGGGAUAAACUAGUGUAGGCUACUCAUUAGAAUGAGCUGGAUUUCACUGAGUUUAAACCCUGGUGGUCACUGGAAUGUGGUCCAAUAACAUUUUAUGUGUAAAUUUUUUAUUCAGGAAGUCAGUUGAACUUCCUGAAUUGAUCCUGACCAUGAUCUCAAUCUACAUUUCAUGCAUGGUGUGUUUUGGUUGCCUGCAGUAUGUUUUUUUACAUGAAGUUGCAUGUGUUUAGUUGAUUUUAUAUUUAAGGACUGCACCGAUCAAUGUGUUCAACGUUUUUAUAUGGAAUAAUUUUCUUCAAAUAAAUGUUAACUCUUUGAUUUAUCA